Molecule: ribosomal RNA, 200 nt
Filed under: uncultured bacterium
Lineage: Bacteria
Description: partial 16S ribosomal RNA
Rfam family: Bacterial small subunit ribosomal RNA
Source: RNAcentral
AGAGUUUGAUCCUGGCUCAGAGCGAACGCUGGCGGCGUGCUUAACACAUGCAAGUCGAGUGCGCGGUAGCAAUACUGGCGCACGGCGCACGGGUGCGUAACACGUGGGCAACCUGCCCUCUAAUGGGGGAUAACCCCGCGAAAGCGGGGCUAAUACCGCAUGACAUUCCGAUGGCUUCGGCCGUCGGAUUCAAAGCCGUA